UCCAAUUCACUCAGUUCUAUUAGCAGCUGC
RNAcentral lists this non-coding RNA (30 nucleotides) under Rattus norvegicus (Norway rat). The record is from RNAcentral. Lineage: Eukaryota; Metazoa; Chordata; Mammalia; Rodentia; Muridae.